UAAGUAGUAUGUUGAUGUGGCACCUCUUAGAUUCAAGAAAACCCAUUUAUCUUUUUUCUCCUUUUUUUGAACUUUUUUCUUCAUUUUUUCAUUUAUCAAUCAAUUUGUUUAAUAAUCAAAAUAAAUGGAUCAAUUACUACUCCUACAUUUAUUUAUAUCCUUUAAUCUAAAAGUUUAAUGUUUUUAAUUUUGAUUACUCUCAUGACCUUUGAUGAUCAUAACUCCUUUCAUGAUAUCAUUUCAUAUUCCAUAUUGUUGUCCUAUAAAUAAAAGCAUUAUGUCUUCUUCCAUCCAUCAACAAAAUUAAGAAUAUUUCAUUCGCUAUAUAUUUUUUGAACUUACAUAUAUUCUUUUUAAAAAAUUCAUUUGUGUACCUUCUAAAAUGUCCUCCUUAUUCUUUUCUUUUGGGUAUGUUGUUGUUGUUUUUUCUUCUUCUUCAUGUAUUUCCCUUUUGACAUUUUAAUUGAUUUGCUUUACACUAAAUUUGUUAUUAUUAUUAUCCUAUAUUAUUUGUAACUUCUAAGCAAAAACAUGUAUGAUUUAAAUCUAUUUUCUUACAAUUCUUAUUCAUAAUGUAUUAAUUUUCGUGAUGUGUUAUUUCUUACAAUAAUAAGAAGAAGAUCAAAUAGUGAACGAAUUAAAUGAAGAUGAAAUGAUGACUAUGUGAAGAUUUGAGGAGUAGGACAUAAGAACCACUUGACAUGAAUGUCUUUUGUAGAAUUAUGUAACACCUUUUUUUGACAUUUUUUCUCAUUUCUUUCAAUUAGUUUAUUUUACAAACUCAUGUCCCCGUACAUUUAAUUACAUAAAUUCUAAUCUUAAAUAUUAGUAAUGUCCAUGACUCUCAAGUCUUUAAUAUUCAUAAUCUUCAAUUAGUUAAUGUACACGAAGACAAUUUAUCUUUUUUUCUUUUUAAUUAAUAUUAUCUUUCUCUAUAAUUUAUGUGAUUGAUU
Molecule: long non-coding RNA, 953 nt
Filed under: Capsicum annuum
Lineage: Eukaryota; Viridiplantae; Streptophyta; Magnoliopsida; Solanales; Solanaceae
Description: long non-coding RNA (CANN_LNC016996)
Source: RNAcentral